Molecule: ribosomal RNA, 442 nt
Filed under: uncultured bacterium
Lineage: Bacteria
Description: partial 16S ribosomal RNA
Rfam family: Bacterial small subunit ribosomal RNA
Source: RNAcentral
CCUACGGGAGACAGCAGUAGGGAAUCUUUCACAAUGGGCGAAAGCCUGAUGGAGCAACGCCGCGUGCAGGAUGAAGGCCUUCGGGUUGUAAACUGCUUUUAUAAGCGAGAAAUAUGAUGGUAACUUAUGAAUAAGGAUCGGCUAACUACGUGCCAGCAGCCGCGGUCAUACGUAGGAUCCGAGCAUUAUCCGGAGUGACUGGGUGUAAAGAGUUGCGUAGGUGGCAUAAUAAGUAGCUAGUGAAAUCUGGUGGCUCAACCAUUCAGACUAUUAGCUAAACUGUUAAGCUCGAGACCGUUAGGGGUAACUGGAAGUUCUAGUGUAGGAGUGAAAUCCGUAGAUAUUAGAAGGAACACCAAUAGCGUAGGCAGGUUGCUGGGACGGUUCUGACACUAAGGCACGAAAGCGUAGGGAGCAAACGGGAUUAGAUACCCCAGUAGUC